GCUGGGCAUAGUGGCGUGUGCCUGUAGUCCCAGCUAUUCGGGAGGCUGAGGCAGGAGAAUCGCUUGAACCUGGGAGGUGGAGGUUGCAGUGAGCCGAGAUCACGCCACUGCACUCCAGCCUGGGCAACAGAGCGAGACUCUGUCUCAA
RNAcentral lists this non-coding RNA (148 nucleotides) under Pan troglodytes (chimpanzee). The record is from Rfam by way of RNAcentral. Lineage: Eukaryota; Metazoa; Chordata; Mammalia; Primates; Hominidae.